Molecule: long non-coding RNA, 581 nt
Filed under: Arachis ipaensis
Lineage: Eukaryota; Viridiplantae; Streptophyta; Magnoliopsida; Fabales; Fabaceae
Description: long non-coding RNA (AIPA_LNC000907)
Source: RNAcentral
GCGAUGCUAUGUUAUGAGUCUUGUAGGACCAAACACCUAAAAAAGAAUUACACAUCAGGGCCUAACAUAAAAAGAAAAUUUUAUAAGACUUUAGACUCUUACCAUAUAAACUAACUUUUGAAGUGAUAGUUCUCCGCAGCCGAGGCCUGGGUCAGAUGGCAAUCUUGUUUGCCUCCCAUAGAGCUGCACCGGGUUCAAAUCCUCUUGGAGGAAUAUUGAACCAUUUGUAUGUACCCCCAUGCUCUUGGAGGAAUAUUGAACCAUUUGUGUGUACCCCCAUGUAGUGUGUGUGAGUGGAUUGUGUGAGUGUGUAAUGUAUGGGUGUAAUGCCUAGGAUUGGGGGCUGUCCAAAAGGUAUGAACUUGUCUCCCCGAAGACAAACUUAUCACUUAGGAAACUCAGACUACUUUGAUUUCAGUUUUUCACAUUUUUUUUUUGUCAACGUUAAGAUUGCCAUUUUGUUUCAGAAACUACCUUAGCAUCGUGAUCAAGUGGCACAUCCGUCUCUCUCACUUUGAUAUCCAACAAAAUUGAAGACUUUGCUAUUAUUGUUAGACAGCCUCUCAUAAUUGAUGUUGAUG